UCGGGAAUCUUGCGCAAUGGGCGAAAGCCUGACGCAGCAACACCGUGUGAGCGACGAAGGCCUUCGGGUCGUAAAGCUCUGUUGUUGGGGACGAAGGGUUAGGGGUUAAUAGCCCCGAGCCUGACGGUACCCUUCGAGGAAGCCCCGGCUAACUACGUGCCAGCAGCCGCGGUAAUACGUAGGGGGCGAGCGUUGUCCGGAAUUAUUGGGCGUAAAGAGCGUGUAGGCGGUUCGGUAAGUCUGCCGUGAAAACCCAGGGCUCAACCCUGGGCGUGCGGUGGAUACUGCCGGGCUAGAGGGUGGUAGAGGCGAGUGGAAUUCCCGGUGUAGCGGUGAAAUGCGCAGAUAUCGGGAGGAACACCAGUAGCGAAGGCGGCUCGCUGGGCCAUACCUGACGCUGAGACGCGAAAGCGUGGGGAGCAAACAG
Molecule: ribosomal RNA, 427 nt
Filed under: uncultured bacterium
Lineage: Bacteria
Description: bacterial SSU rRNA
Rfam family: Bacterial small subunit ribosomal RNA
Source: RNAcentral